This 465-nucleotide ribosomal RNA is filed under the name uncultured bacterium. RNAcentral describes it as "partial 16S ribosomal RNA". It matches the Rfam family "Bacterial small subunit ribosomal RNA", at positions 28 to 507 of the family's 1533-position model. The record is from RNAcentral.
GACGAACGCUGGCGGCGUGCUUAACACAUGCAAGUCGAACGGAAAGGCCCCUUUGGGGGUACUCGAGUGGCGAACGGGUGAGUAACACGUGAGUAACCUGCCCUUGACUUCGGGAUAACUUCAGGAAACUGGGGCUAAUACCGGAUAGGAAUCCUUGCUGCAUGGUGGGGGUUGGAAAGCUUCGGCGGUUUUGGAUGGACUCGCGGCUUAUCAGCUUGUUGGUGGGGUAGUGGCUUACCAAGGCUUUGACGGGUAGCCGGCCUGAGAGGGCGACCGGCCACAUUGGGACUGAGAUACGGCCCAGACUCCGACGGGAGGCAGCAGUGGGGAAUAUUGCACAAUGGGCGGAAGCCUGAUGCAGCAACGCCGCGUGCGGGAUGACGGCCUUCGGGUUGGAAACCGCUUUCAGCAGGGGCGAAGCUUGUGGUGACGGUACCUGCAGAAGAAGCACCGGCUAACUACGUG